Callorhinus ursinus (northern fur seal) is the source of this 644-nucleotide long non-coding RNA. RefSeq lists it as uncharacterized. The record is from RefSeq and is a predicted model, not a curated record. NCBI's taxonomy places the organism in Eukaryota, Metazoa, Chordata, Mammalia, Carnivora, Otariidae.
GAGUCGGUGGCCGGCUGAGCUUCGAUGAAUUUCUUUGUCUUGGUCGCUGGCCGCGGCGUGCGCCGUGCAGAGGAGGUUCGCUGGCGGAGCUCUGUGUGUCUGCAUUUGCGGACAGAAAGUUGUGGAAGAAAUGGCAAUAAACGCCAGCAGUUACAGAGCCAGCGCGGCCCCAGCAGCGAGAGUGGUGCCACCAAGCUCCUUCCCCAGGACUUCACUCAGCAUCUCAGCAUCCAGCUGCCAGAGCUUUGAAAUGUGUCUCACCAGCUUCACUGUACCUGCUCAGAGCACUGGCAACAGCUGAGUGGCGCUACCUCCUCCACCACAGUUGGAGUCCCGGCCCCAUGAGAAUUUCCUCUGGGUUCAGAGACACCAGCAGGCCACUUUCUCAGAAAGUGAGUGGAACAUGAAGGAGAAAACCAUGAAAAAGAAACUCACGGCAUCCAAGAAACAGGAGAUCCAACCCAGGAAAGAGGCAAGAGAAAGUGCCGCUGCCACAGCUGCCCAGCAGGCCUGGAGAGGAAUCAGUCCCAAACAAAGCAGAAGAACAGAGAACUGCAAGGUAAACUCUACACUCAUUGUCGGGCUUACACUCAUGACCCAGAGAUCAAGAGUCACAUGCUCUACUGAGUGAGCCAGCCAGGAGC